Long non-coding RNA from Sceloporus undulatus (fence lizard), 989 nucleotides. RefSeq lists it as uncharacterized. The record is from RefSeq and is a predicted model, not a curated record. Lineage: Eukaryota; Metazoa; Chordata; Lepidosauria; Squamata; Phrynosomatidae. The transcript is spliced from 3 exons.
AAUAAAUAAAUAAAAUUUCUUUCAUUUCUCUGCAGAUAAAUAACCACAAGGAGAGAGCUCAGUUCUUCAUCUGCCAGGCUCUGGAAUAUCUCCACCAUCCACAAGCCAGAAUCAGGUUCACAGCAGGCCAGUUCAUAGGUCAUGCACUGAAUGGUUACAGUGUAGAGUUGUCAGGACACCUUGAUGAGUAGAACAUUCUCCACCUGGGAAAAGGUAAGGUAAGGGAGGGCUGCUGGGUUUCCUGUUGGGUGGGGUGGCCAGAAGCGGACCAACUGAAGUGGCCCUGCACAUGGUCUGUGGCAGAGGAGAGGGAGAAACUGGCCUUUAUUAUUCUGUGGGCACAGAAAGCAGUGCCUUGUUGGAUAUGCUGACCUGGCCCACAUCACUCAGCAUCCUACUUGGUUACCUAUGGACCUCAUUUCUACUUUAGUUUUCCAGGAGAUGGGAUCGAAUCCAGAUCUCAGCUUAGAACACUCUGCAGAAAAAUACACGGAGAUGCUGCUAAAACUGUCUCUCAUGAAGAGAUGAGCAGAGCACUUGAAGUAGCAGACUCAACACAAGGGGAGGGAGCACAGGUAUGCCCUGUGGGGUGUGCCCACAAGUGUGCGUGCAAAUUGGCAGGCAUGAAUGUGGCUGACACGGAUGCUGCAGGAUGGUGGAGUGAGGCUGGCCAAGACCCCCAUAGGAGUCCUGGCAAGGUUCCCCACUGUGCCAUGUGCUCCCUGUUCAGGCUAUCCGGAGCAGGAGAGGAGCUUCCAGAAAUACCUGAGGAGGAGGACACCACCAUUGGAGAGAUCCAGCUCAAUGAGCCUUUUGACAGACGACCAGCCACGCCACUCCUACCAUCGGACUCCCCUGGGCCCACAGGGCCAUCUGUGCAUAAGGAAAACUGUGAUAUGCUUUUGGGCACACAAAGUCUGAGGGACAGCAAGCUGGCCCCUGGCUCAAAAAGGUUGCCUACUCCUGAGCUAGACAAUGCAACUAUUCAA